RNAcentral lists this ribosomal RNA (252 nucleotides) under uncultured bacterium. RNAcentral describes it as "partial 16S ribosomal RNA". It matches the Rfam family "Bacterial small subunit ribosomal RNA", at positions 524 to 776 of the family's 1533-position model. The record is from RNAcentral.
UACGUAGGGUGCGAGCGUUAAUCGGAAUUACUGGGCGUAAAGCGUGCGCAGGCGGUUUUGUAAGCCAGAUGUGAAAUCCCCGGGCUUAACCUGGGAAUGGCAUUUGGGACUGCAAGGCUGGAGUUUGGCAGAGGAGACUGGAAUUCCUGGUGUAGCAGUGAAAUGCGUAGAUAUCAGGAGGAACACCGAUGGCGAAGGCAGGUCUCUGGGCUGAAACUGACGCUCAUGCACGAAAGCGUGGGAGCAAACAGG